GUCUAAAUAGUUUAAUUAAAAUAUUGAUUUGUGGUGUCAGUGAUGUGAUUUGUGUUGCUUUGGACU
Molecule: transfer RNA, 66 nt
Filed under: Heterotermes cardini
Lineage: Eukaryota; Metazoa; Arthropoda; Insecta; Blattodea; Rhinotermitidae
Also listed under: 1 other name
Description: tRNA-His
Source: RNAcentral